RNAcentral lists this small nuclear RNA (264 nucleotides) under Myotis davidii. RNAcentral's name for it is "7SK RNA". It matches the Rfam family "7SK RNA". Rfam says of the family: 7SK was discovered as an abundant small nuclear RNA in the mid-70s but a possible function has only recently been suggested. Two independent studies have found that 7SK RNA binds the CDK9/cyclin T complex (known as elongation factor P-TEFb). P-TEFb activates transcription by phosphorylating the C-terminal domain of RNA polymerase II. Lineage: Eukaryota; Metazoa; Chordata; Mammalia; Chiroptera; Vespertilionidae. The record is from Rfam by way of RNAcentral.
GGGUGAUCUGGCUGCGACAUCUGUCACCCCACUGAUCGCCAGGGCUGAUUCAGCUGAUCUGGCUGCCUGAUCCACGUGCACCCCUCCCGAAGCUGUGCACUUGCUCAAAGGGGACGACCUUCCCCUCAGAGGAGAGGACCGGUCUCUGGUCCAAGGGUAUAUGAGUAGCUGUGCUCCCUGCUAGGAUCUCCCAACAAGCUCUCAUAUUCUACACCUGACGCAGCAAACAGUUCUGCUGGCUCCGAGAACUUCCUGCAACCUGCA